GUCGAACGAGAGCGACCGGUGCUUGCACUGGUCAAUCUAGUGGCGAACGGGUGAGUAACACGUGGGUAACCUGCCCAUCAGAGGGGGAUAACAUUCGGAAACGGAUGCUAAAACCGCAUAGGUCCUUUAACCGCAUGGUUGAAGGAGGAAAAGAGGCGCAAGCUUCUGCUGAUGGAUGGACCCGCGGUGCAUUAGCUAGUUGGUGAGGUAACGGCUCACCAAGGCCGUGAUGCAUAGCCGACCUGAGAGGGUGAUCGGCCACAUUGGGACUGAGACACGGCCCAAACUCCUACGGGAGGCAGCAGUAGGGAAUCUUCCGCAAUGGACGCAAGUCUGACGGAGCAACGCCGCGUGAGUGAAGAAGGUUUUCGGAUCGUAAAACUCUGUUGUUAGAGAAGAACAAGUGCUAGAGUAACUGUUAGCGCCUUGACGGUAUCUAACCAGAAAGCCACGGCUAACUACGUGCCAGCAGCCGCGGUAAUACGUAGGUGGCAAGCGUUGUCCGGAUUUAUUGGGCGUAAAGCGAGCGCAGGCGGUUCCUUAAGUCUGAUGUGAAAGCCCCCGGCUCAACCGGGGAGGGUCAUUGGAAACUGGGGAACUUGAGUGCAGAAGAGGAGAGUGGAAUUCCAUGUGUAGCGGUGAAAUGCGUAGAUAUAUGGAGGAACACCAGUGGCGAAGGCGACUCUCUGGUCUGUAACUGACGCUGAGGCUCGAAAGCGUG
This 721-nucleotide ribosomal RNA is filed under the name uncultured Carnobacteriaceae bacterium. Its description in RNAcentral is "bacterial SSU rRNA". It matches the Rfam family "Bacterial small subunit ribosomal RNA", at positions 61 to 763 of the family's 1533-position model. Lineage: Bacteria; Bacillati; Bacillota; Bacilli; Lactobacillales; Carnobacteriaceae. The record is from RNAcentral.